GUUUGAUCCUGGCUCAGAUUGAACGCUGGCGGAAUGCUUUACACAUGCAAGUCGAACGGCAGCACGGGUGCUUGCACCUGGUGGCGAGUGGCGAACGGGUGAGUAAUGCAUCGGAACGUACCGAGUAAUGGGGGAUAACGCAGCGAAAGUUGUGCUAAUACCGCAUACGCCCUGAGGGGGAAAGUGGGGGACCGCAAGGCCUCACGUUAUUCGAGCGGCCGACGUCUGAUUAGCUAGUUGGUGGGGUAAAGGCUCACCAAGGCGACGAUCAGUAGCGGGUCUGAGAGGAUGAUCCGCCACACUGGGACUGAGACACGGCCCAGACUCCUACGGGAGGCAGCAGUGGGGAAUUUUGGACAAUGGGGGCAACCCUGAUCCAGCCAUUCCGCGUGAGUGAAGAAGGCCUUCGGGUUGUAAAGCUCUUUCAGUUGGAACGAAACGGUACGCUCUAACAUAGCGUGCUACUGACGGUACCGACAGAAGAAGCACCGGCUAACUACGUGCCAGCAGCCGCGGUAAUACGUAGGGUGCGAGCGUUAAUCGGAAUUACUGGGCGUAAAGCGUGCGCAGGCGGAUUGUUAAGCAAGAUGUGAAAUCCCCGGGCUUAACCUGGGAAUGGCAUUUUGAACUGGCAGUCUAGAGUGCGUCAGAGGGGGGUGGAAUUCCACGUGUAGCAGUGAAAUGCGUAGAGAUGUGGAGGAACACCGAUGGCGAAGGCAGCCCCCUGGGAUGACACUGACGCUCAUGUACGAAAGCGUGGGUAGCAAACAGGAUUAGAUACCCUGGUAGUCCACGCCCUAAACGAUGUCAACUGGUUGUUGGGGGAGUGAAAUCCCUUAGUAACGAAGCUAACGCGUGAAGUUGACCGCCUGGGGAGUACGGUCGCAAGAUUAAAACUCAAAGGAAUUGACG
Molecule: ribosomal RNA, 912 nt
Filed under: uncultured bacterium
Lineage: Bacteria
Description: bacterial SSU rRNA
Rfam family: Bacterial small subunit ribosomal RNA
Source: RNAcentral